RNAcentral lists this long non-coding RNA (2044 nucleotides) under Equus caballus (horse). RNAcentral's name for it is "lncRNA (ENSECAG00000027830.3)". Lineage: Eukaryota; Metazoa; Chordata; Mammalia; Perissodactyla; Equidae. The record is from RNAcentral.
UUCCACCUGGGGAGGAGGUGGACGCUCUCUCACUUUGCACCCUCUCCUAAGGAAGGAAGAAAUAAAUGAAGGCACCAGCCAGGCCGGAGAAACUUGCAAGUCGCUGUGACUGCUUCGGAUCCAGCACACCCCACCCACCUCGGGCUGUGGACGCCACCUGCAGCAGCCCGGGGAAGACGGAGGAAGAGGCGCUGGCUGCGGAGCAGGUCCUUGGCAAAGAGCGGAAGGUGACGGGGCGCAGGGAGCGCCUGCUCUUAGGAUCCUGCCUCUCAGCUGAGGAGGGAGCAAUUCAAGUUUUAAUAAUCUCAGGCAUAUGAAUGAUGCAAACUUGCAACAGCGUUUGAAAGUGCACUUAUUUAAACUUCUUUUUCCUCUAAAUAGCUUUGCGACUGUCGACCGGUAAAUUUUCCUUUUUAUUUCAUCACAUUCAUCGUUUGCCCUCUUGCCAGCAGGGACCCCACAAUGGCGACAAAUGGGUUCUCCGGGGCAAAUGGCAAAAGAGAGGAAGUUUCCCGUCGGACUUUCCCAAGCCCCCCUCUCCCCGCCCCUUCUUGCACCUGGACCUUCUGAGGCUGUCGCACCCCUCCCCUGGGCGGGGCCGGCACUAGGGAUACUGGAUUUCUCCUACUCUUCCCGCCCCUGGAUUCUUUCAGCCCUCACCCCCUCCCAGGAAAGAGGAAGAGAAGCAGCGGUGACGAGGACAGGCGGUGGUUGCCUACCCAGGAAUCCGAGAAAAAUGAAGAAUUCAGAACCUGACUGUAAGCUCAAGACAAGAUGCAACAAAAGGAAUAAAAACUCAAAGAUCUUGGAAAAGAAUUCCAGCAACAUCAAACCAAGGAGCACGGACUUGCAGGUUGCUCAUAAAUUCCAGGACCUCUACCGCAUCCACAGGCAGGUGGAGGGCCGUCCCCAUCACCAGCUCUACCAGUGGCACCUCUACCGGCAGGAAUUGGUCCUUCUCCUCCUCCAACUCCUUUACCUCGACUAAGUGAUAUACCACAUCCACCACUAUCACCUUUGUUUGGGGACCUCCUACAAGGAUUACUUCCUGCUCUAACUUAAGAAAUAAAUGUAUAAACCUGAACUCCAUGUAUUGAUUCUUGAACUGCAUGACUUGAUUCUCCAUGAAGAGAAUCAAAUGGUCAAAGGCAAAAUUUUGACUAGAGGUUUUUGGCACCUUCUAGCCCCCAAUAGUCAUUAAUAUGCAAAUAACUGCAUAGCUGUGCACAAGUAUGGUAUAAUAUUACAGAAUACGACCGCUGACUCUUGCUUUCCUUUGUGAACUCACCAUCUUAUGUUUCUCUUUCAGUUCAGUAUCUCAGUAAUUGGAAACUCCAUAGACAAUAUCAAAUUUAUGUAGACGGCAAAGGAGAAUUAAAGUGGUGUAAAGAUAAUUGUGUUAGUUUCCUAAGGCUGCCAUAACGAUUCCCACAAGCUGGGUGGUUUAUAAAAAACAGAAAUUUCUCUCUCACAGUUGUGGAGGGCAGAAGUCCACAAUAACAGUGUAGGUAGUGCCACACUCCCUGAAGGCUCUAGGGGACAAUCUCUUUCUUGCCUUUUCCAGCUUCCAGCAUUUUUGGCAUUCCUUGGUUCAUGGAAUAUCUCUGUUCUGUCUUCACACUGCCUUCUCCCAGUGUCUGUGUAUAAACUUCCCUCUUCCAGGAGUGAAUACAUGUGGUUGCAUUUAUGACCCACCGAACUGACUAUUACAUGUUGAUCUUUUACUCUGCACCAUUAUUACAUUUGUUUAUUAGUGCUAGUAUCUUUUUGAGGAUUCUUUGGCAUACUAGAUGUAUUAGUAUCAUGUCAUCUGCAAAAAGAUUUUCCAAUUUGAAUGCCUUUUAUUUCAUGUUCUGGCCUAUCUGCUAUGGCUACAACUUCCAGUAAAAUCUUGAACUGACGAUAACUGACAUCCUUGUCUUCUUCCUGAUUUUAACGGGAAAGACUUCAGUCUUUCAGCACUGAGUAUGACAUUAGCUGUGGGUUUUUCACAUGUGCCCUUUAUUAUGUUGAAGAAGUUCCUUUCUAUUCCUUUUCUAUUGAG